This 22-nucleotide unclassified non-coding RNA is filed under the name Mus musculus (house mouse). Its description in RNAcentral is "oocyte_clustered_small_RNA9384". The record is from RNAcentral. Lineage: Eukaryota; Metazoa; Chordata; Mammalia; Rodentia; Muridae.
UGUGUGGUCAAAAAACGGGCAG